This 497-nucleotide ribosomal RNA is filed under the name uncultured bacterium. RNAcentral's name for it is "partial 16S ribosomal RNA". It matches the Rfam family "Bacterial small subunit ribosomal RNA", at positions 28 to 507 of the family's 1533-position model. The record is from RNAcentral.
GAUGAACGCUGGCGGCGUGCCUAAUACAUGCCAGUCGAGCGAACAGACGAGGAGCUUGCUCCUCUGACGUUAGCGGCGGACGGGUGAGUAACACGUGGAUAACCUACCUAUAAGACUGGGAUAACUUCGGGAAACCGGAGCUAAUACCGGAUAAUAUAUUGAACCGCAUGGUUCAAUAGUGAAAGACGGUUUUGCUGUCACUUAUAGAUGGAUCCGCGCCGCAUUAGCUAGUUGGUAAGGUAACGGCUUACCAAGGCAACGAUGCGUAGCCGACCUGAGAGGGUGAUCGGCCACACUGGAACUGAGACACGGUCCAGACUCCUACGGGAGGCAGCAGUAGGGAAUCUUCCGCAAUGGGCGAAAGCCUGACGGAGCAACGCCGCGUGAGUGAUGAAGGUCUUCGGAUCGUAAAACUCUGUUAUUGGGGAAGAACAAAUGUGUAAGUAACUAUGCACGUCUUGACGGUACCUAAUCAGAAGGCCACGGCUAACUACGUG